This 77-nucleotide transfer RNA is filed under the name Candidatus Abyssobacteria bacterium SURF_17. RNAcentral's name for it is "Candidatus Abyssubacteria bacterium SURF_17 tRNA-Met". It matches the Rfam family "tRNA". From Rfam's summary of the family: Transfer RNA (tRNA) molecules are approximately 80 nucleotides in length. The record is from RNAcentral. Lineage: Bacteria; Pseudomonadati; Candidatus Hydrogenedentota; Candidatus Abyssobacteria.
GGGCCCAUAGCUCAGUUGGUUAGAGCAGCUGACUCAUAAUCAGCGGGUCGUAGGUUCAAGUCCUACUGGGCCCACCU